AUGUGAUGUAACAGGACAUUAUGCAAAUCCCUACUGGUAUCUUGCUAUUAUGUCUUUUCCAUUAAUGUGAAAGAACACAAAAAACAAAAGGAAAAGCUGGCUGUAGAAGAAUUAUGCAUUUGACUGCAUAUAAAGUAAUUCAUGAAAACAAUUUUGUAUGCAUUUAUACCUUUACAGAUAAAACAGUUUUACUUUUUCCUUCAUUCAUGCAUUUAAUUUAAUGAUUUUGAAAGAUGCAGAUGGAAUAGUAACAGUUAUAUAAUUUUCAUUUUGCCAACAGGUUUCUUGCAAGAGUGUUCUGAAAAACACGGAGUCAUUUCAGUCAAUGAGUUGUUGUUCUCCCCCUCACCACAUUUCUGUGGUCACUGUCACCAGUGGAAAUCACAAGCUCGUUAUCAUUACUUGAACUGGCCUACACCAAUUCCCUUGAUCCAGUGGACUGAUGAUCAUUAGUAUCCUGCUUUCUUCAUGCCCCAGUCAAGGUAGAAUGGGAAAAUACAGUUUUCUGCUCUCUGUGAAAAGGUGAGAAUAUAUCCUUGGAACAUAUAAUAAUGUCAAUACCACCCAAUUAUUAUGCUUCAUUAGAAAUGUUAAUUUUUUUUGCAUUAAGAUAAAUUUGCUAUUACGGGUAUUGUAAUAUACUCUGCAGAUUUGCUGUUCAAGUGCACUGCUCUUCUUAUCUUAAUUCGUAUGGAAAUCAGUUAAAAUUGUGUCGUUAAAGUUUGUUUUGUCUGCCCACCACAGUCGCAGGCAGUUUUUCAGUCCCACUGUCAACAGUGCCAAAGGAGAUGCCUUCGGGAGUUAAGCGGGCUGAAGCUCCCGAGGCAGCAGGUCCCCAUCUCUUUGCUGUCUUGGGGGUGACAUGUGAGACAAAGUCAGCGCAGCCCUGAAGCAGCAGCGAGGGAGCGCCGUGUGCUCGGGCAGCCCCGGUGCAGCACAAAGGACAGAG
Molecule: long non-coding RNA, 949 nt
Filed under: Manacus vitellinus (golden-collared manakin)
Lineage: Eukaryota; Metazoa; Chordata; Aves; Passeriformes; Pipridae
Description: lncRNA (ENSMVIG00005004966.1)
Source: RNAcentral